This 312-nucleotide long non-coding RNA is filed under the name Helianthus annuus (common sunflower). RNAcentral's name for it is "hypothetical non coding rna". The record is from RNAcentral. Lineage: Eukaryota; Viridiplantae; Streptophyta; Magnoliopsida; Asterales; Asteraceae.
UGUUUGGGAUGAAGGAAAGUUGCCAACACUGGGCAUGAGCUGGUCAAUGGUCAAAUGCAGCUUGAAAGGUACGCAAACUUGAAGAGCAUGAAAGAGUUGAUUUACAUGAGAGUUUACGACAACCUUAACAUGUAGAUUAUUCCUUUGACUGAUUACCCCAUUGUGGAGAAAGUUUUUUGUUUCUUAACUUCUAUGUUUAAUUGUUACACCGAGUAUCACAUAAGUUACUAAUAAAACGUCUGAUGUUGAAUUCAAAGAAGUUUUUAUAUAUUUAUAAAAUAGGGUAGGGAUAUGGUAAAAAGUGUCUAAAAU